GACGAACGCUGGCGGCGUGCUUAACACAUGCAAGUCGAGCGAUGAAACACCUUCGGGUGCGGAUUAGCGGCGAACGGGUGAGGAACACGUGAGGAAUCUGCCUUCCACUCUGGGAUAACUCCGGGAAACCGGGGCUAAUACCGGAUACUUUCAACUGGCGGCAUCGCCGGUUGAAGAAAGUUUUUCGGUGGAAGAUGACCUCGCGGCCUAUCAGCUUGAUGGUGAGGUAAAGGCUCACCAAGGCGACGACGGGUAGCCGGCCUGAGAGGGCGACCGGCCACACUGGGACUGAGACACGGCCCAGACUCCUACGGGAGGCAGCAGUGGGGAAUAUUGCACAAUGGGCGCAAGCCUGAUGCAGCAACGCCGCGUGAGGGAUGACGGCCUUCGGGUUGUAAACCUCUUUUAGUAGGGAAGAGGCGAAAGUGACGGUACCUGCAGAAAAAGCACCGGCUAACUCUGUGCCAGCCGCCGCGGUAA
Molecule: ribosomal RNA, 480 nt
Filed under: uncultured bacterium
Lineage: Bacteria
Description: partial 16S ribosomal RNA
Rfam family: Bacterial small subunit ribosomal RNA
Source: RNAcentral